RNAcentral lists this small nuclear RNA (272 nucleotides) under Microtus ochrogaster (prairie vole). RNAcentral describes it as "7SK RNA (ENSMOCG00000005758.1)". It matches the Rfam family "7SK RNA". From Rfam's summary of the family: 7SK was discovered as an abundant small nuclear RNA in the mid-70s but a possible function has only recently been suggested. Lineage: Eukaryota; Metazoa; Chordata; Mammalia; Rodentia; Cricetidae. The record is from Rfam by way of RNAcentral.
CUGAAGGCCAUCUGCCUGUGACAUCUGUCCCCCGCUGAUUGCCAGACUUGAGUGGCUGAUCUGGCUGGCUGGGAAGCUGUCCCUUCCUCCCUCAUCGAUGUGCUUCCUGCGUCCAGACUUCCCCUACCAGGGAAUAAGUUGUGGAUCAAGGGCAGAUGAGUAGGGGCAUUUGCCUGCUAAAACCUCCAAGCAAGCUCUCAGAACCUGUUUUAAUUUAAUCUGAGGGCAGAUUCCAAGAAAUGUCAAUAGAAAAAAUGGCUUUUUUUUCCUGU